AAAUAGUAAUGGAAAAAUAGUGUUUAAAAUAUGAUUUUAUGUUUUUAAUGAGAUUAAAGAGAGAGAAACUUGAGUAGUCAAGUAUUGGACCCAAAUGUCAUAUAAUUUUAAUUGGGGAUUUUUAUAAAAUUAAGAAAGUUUUGCUAAAGGACUUAUUUGAAAAGAAUUUUAGUAUUUUGGGUCCAAGUGUAAUUUAAAAAAAAAAAUUAAAAAAAAAAAGAAAAGAAAAGAAAAGGCUUCAGCCUUUCUUUUUUUACCCGUGUCUCUCUCUCUCUCCUCAGAAAAUCUCUCUCUCUCUCUCUCUCUCUCUCUCUCUCUCUCUCUCUCUCUCUCUCCUCUGCGUAUUACUGUUGUCGACGACGCAGGAGUACUUUCCGGCCACCAUUUUUAGCCACGCGCCGGACCGUUGGAUUCAGAAGCCUCCGAACUAUCGACCCACGCGGGAAUCUAGAGCUCACUCGCCGAUUAAACGCCUCAACCACUCGAUUUAAGUUCGGCCACCCCGCGACUUCAAAGUUGCGAUUCGGCCACCUCGGGCAUCCGUUUGCCGAUCCGUCACCACCAUCGUGUUCCUCGUGUUGUGGGCUUCAAAACCCAAUAACUUGUUCCUACAUCUACCAUAGUUGGGUGGUGGGCCCACCACGAGCCACCGCGAUCCACCGUAGACCGACGGUCGAAACUUAGUGUUCGGUGUUUUGAAGUACGUUUUGAGUCUCAGAAAAUCAUCGUUUGACUUGUUGUGGAACCCGAUCAUUUUGGAUUUGUAUGGAUUUGAUUGAUUGACUCUUGGUGAGGAAUUUUAAAAUAAGCUAAGGACCUAAGGUGUGGCUUUAGCUGUUGAGCAACUUGUGGAGCACGGACUCAGUAGCAAUGCAAUAAUGGUUUAGAGUUUUCAUAUGACUGCCUUAAAUUUAAAGUAUUCAUACGUGUAAUAAUUUCUUCUAAUAAGUUUAUAUAAAAGUUUUAAAUUUUUCUGUAUUUCUUCGUAUCAUUUUAUUUAAUUCUUUUGGUCAAGUGCCUUACAUACUCGUAAACCCUAGAAUUACGAGUAUGUGGCAGACGUACCCUACCUUAGGGACGUUACAUCUGGUCAUUUGUACUCACACAAUUUUGUAUUGGAAAGGCUCUGCAAAAUUACUUUCACUUGAAUCUUUCGCACAGAGUACAUAAUAAAAGUGAC
Molecule: long non-coding RNA, 1180 nt
Organism: Humulus lupulus (European hop)
Lineage: Eukaryota; Viridiplantae; Streptophyta; Magnoliopsida; Rosales; Cannabaceae
Exons: 3
Source: RefSeq, a predicted model, not a curated record